CAACUUAAUUGACGUACUUUUUCAAAAUAGACACACUGUCUUCCAAAAAGAAUACGGUUUGAGGUAGGACAGACGAAGCAUGAAAAACCGAAGGCCCAACAAAUACAACGUGGCCAGCCAAACGUACAAUUUCUUUCGAACUUCCAGAAAAUAGUUCAAUAGUGGAAACUGAAGCAUUUGAUUUAUUAAGAAUAAGCUCUGGAGCCUUUUCGUUAACCAACUCAUUUAUUCUGGCAUAAAACGCAUUACUUUU
Molecule: non-coding RNA, 253 nt
Organism: Schizosaccharomyces pombe (fission yeast)
Lineage: Eukaryota; Fungi; Ascomycota; Schizosaccharomycetes; Schizosaccharomycetales; Schizosaccharomycetaceae
Source: the annotation of a GenBank genome assembly